This 861-nucleotide ribosomal RNA is filed under the name Plagiostoma barriae. RNAcentral describes it as "LSU rRNA". It matches the Rfam family "Eukaryotic large subunit ribosomal RNA", at positions 69 to 959 of the family's 3401-position model. Lineage: Eukaryota; Fungi; Ascomycota; Sordariomycetes; Diaporthales; Gnomoniaceae. The record is from RNAcentral.
CAGGGAUUGCCCUAGUAACGGCGAGUGAAGCGGCAACAGCUCAAAUUUGAAAUCUGGCUUCGGCCCGAGUUGUAAUUUGCAGAGGAUGUUUAUGGUGCGGUACCUUCCGAGUUCCCUGGAACGGGACGCCACAGAGGGUGAGAGCCCCGUCUGGUUGGAUACCAAACCUGUGUUAAACUCCUUCAACGAGUCGAGUAGUUUGGGAAUGCUGCUCUAAAUGGGAGGUAAAUCUCUUCUAAAGCUAAAUACUGGCCAGAGACCGAUAGCGCACAAGUAGAGUGAUCGAAAGAUGAAAAGCACCUUGAAAAGGGGGUUAAACAGUACGUGAAAUUGUUGAAAGGGAAGCGUUUAUGACCAGACUUGUGUCGUGUGGCUCAUCCGAGGUUCUCCCCGGUGCACUCCACGCGGCUCAGGCCAACAUCGGUUCUUGUUGGAGGAUAAGAACAGUAGGAACGUAGCUCUCCUUCGGGGGAGUGUUAUAGCCUAUUGUACGAUACUCUGGBGGGGACCGAGGACCGCGCUUCGGCUAGGAUGUUGGCGUAAUGGUCAUUAGCGACCCGUCUUGAAACACGGACCAAGGAGUCGUCCAUUAGAGCGAGCGUUUGGGUGUAAAACCCGCACGCGUAAUGAAAGUGAAAUUAGGUGAGAGCUUCGGCGCAUCAUCGACCGAUCCUGAAGUUUUCGGAUGGAUUUGAGUAAGAGUUUUAACGGACGGACCCGAAAGACAGUGAACUAUGCUUGAAUAGGGUGAAGCCAGAGGAAACUCUGGUGGAGGCUCGCAGCGGUUCUGACGUGCAAAUCGAUCGUCAAAUUUGAGCAUGGGGGCGAAAGACUAAUCGAACUGUCUAGUAGCUGGUUACC